This 450-nucleotide ribosomal RNA is filed under the name uncultured Diversispora. Its description in RNAcentral is "SSU rRNA". It matches the Rfam family "Eukaryotic small subunit ribosomal RNA", at positions 569 to 1022 of the family's 1831-position model. Lineage: Eukaryota; Fungi; Glomeromycota; Glomeromycetes; Diversisporales; Diversisporaceae. The record is from RNAcentral.
AGCAGCCGCGGUAAUUCCAGCUCCAAUAGCGUAUAUUAAAGUUGUUGCAGUUAAAAAGCUCGUAGUUGAACUUCGGAAUUUGCCCAUUGGUCAGGCUUAACUGUCUGAACUGGUGUGACGAGUUCCUACCUUCUGAGGAAUCUUCAUGCCAUUCAUUUGGUGUGGGGGGAAAUCAGGACUGUUACUUUGAAAAAUUAGAGUGUUUAAAGCAGGCAUCCGUCUGAAUACAUUAGCAUGGAAUAAUAAAAUAGGACGGUUUGGUUCUAUUUUGUUGGUUUCUAGGAUCACCGUAAUGAUUAAUAGGGAUAGUUGGGGGCAUUAGUAUUCAAUUGUCAGAGGUGAAAUUCUUGGAUUUAUUGAAGACUAACUACUGCGAAAGCAUUUGCCAAGGAUGUUUUCAUUAAUCAAGAACGAAAGUUAGGGGAUCGAAGACGAUCAGAUACCGUCGUA